UUGGGAAGGAUUUAGUGUGAUUG
This 23-nucleotide non-coding RNA is filed under the name Cricetulus griseus (Chinese hamster). Lineage: Eukaryota; Metazoa; Chordata; Mammalia; Rodentia; Cricetidae. The record is from RNAcentral.